RNAcentral lists this ribosomal RNA (256 nucleotides) under uncultured bacterium. Its description in RNAcentral is "partial 16S ribosomal RNA". It matches the Rfam family "Bacterial small subunit ribosomal RNA", at positions 524 to 777 of the family's 1533-position model. The record is from RNAcentral.
UACGUAGGGAGCAAGCGUUGUUCGGAUUUACUGGGCGUAAAGGGCGCGUAGGCGGCAAUUCAAGUCACUUGUGAAAUCUCCGGGCUUAACUCGGAACGGUCAAGUGAUACUGCUUUGCUAGAGUGCGGAAGGGGCAAUCGGAAUUCUCGGUGUAGCGGUGAAAUGCGUAGAUAUCGAGAGGAACACCUGAGGUGAAGACGGGUUGCUGGGCCGACACUGACGCUGACAGCGCGAAAGCCAGGGGAGGCAAAGCGGG